RNAcentral lists this ribosomal RNA (253 nucleotides) under uncultured bacterium. RNAcentral describes it as "partial 16S ribosomal RNA". It matches the Rfam family "Bacterial small subunit ribosomal RNA", at positions 524 to 776 of the family's 1533-position model. The record is from RNAcentral.
UACGGAAGGGGCAAGCGUUGUUCGGAAUCAUUGGGAGUAAAGGGCGCGCAGGUGGCUCUGUAUGUCUGCCGUGAAAGCAUACAGCUCAACUGUAUUGUGUCGGUAGAAACUGCAGGACUUGAGGCUGGGAGGGGCUGGUGGAAUUCCCUGUGUAGCGGUGAAAUGCGUAGAGAUGGGGGAGAACACUCGUGGCGAAGGCGGCCAGCUAGACCAGUUCUGACACUGAGGCGCGACAGCGUGGGGAGCAAACAGA